Molecule: non-coding RNA, 447 nt
Organism: Microcebus murinus (gray mouse lemur)
Lineage: Eukaryota; Metazoa; Chordata; Mammalia; Primates; Cheirogaleidae
Source: RefSeq, a predicted model, not a curated record
CGGGCCUCGGCUUCUCACCUGCGCAGCGAACGGUUGCCCAGCGCAGCCGGCUUCCCUGCGGAGCCCGCCCCUCCGCGCCUCCGCGUCCUCACCUUCUCCGCGUCCUCACCUGCAACCUCACGCUGCAACCGCCUUGCCCUGACGCGGCUUGGCUUCCCUCGGAGCACACCUGGGCCAGAAGUUUCAACUUUGUUCACAGAUUAAUGGGGACACAGUCACCGCCUGUGACAAUAGCCAAAUGCUGGCUACCAGGUCAGGAGCAAUUAUGUAACCUGCUGAGUACAUUUUAAUCUUCACAAUGAUGCUGGGAGACACCACUGGGACCAAGACAUAGAACAUUUCCACCACUCCAGAAGUUUCCUUGAUGACCCUUCCCCAUCAAUAGCCCUCAAGGUAAUCACUAUUCUGAUAUCUACCUACCAAUAUAGAUUCACUUUGAACUUUGUA